AACCUAUGGUAAGGACACUGUCUUUGCAAUUCUUUGAACCUCUCCCAAACUUCAUACAAUGUCUUAUCAUCUCUCUAGUAAAAAGUAUUUAUCUCAUUUCUCGGUU
Molecule: small nucleolar RNA, 106 nt
Organism: Mangifera indica (mango)
Lineage: Eukaryota; Viridiplantae; Streptophyta; Magnoliopsida; Sapindales; Anacardiaceae
Source: RefSeq, a predicted model, not a curated record